Molecule: long non-coding RNA, 10870 nt
Filed under: Jatropha curcas
Lineage: Eukaryota; Viridiplantae; Streptophyta; Magnoliopsida; Malpighiales; Euphorbiaceae
Description: long non-coding RNA (JCUR_LNC001469)
Source: RNAcentral
AAUUUUUCAAGUAUGUAUUCAUUUUGACUAAUAAUACCUGUGAAUUUGCAGUUAUCCUCAAAAGGGUCUACUUGGGAUGAGAUAGACUUUGAGUUCUUGGGAAAUUUGAGUGGAGAUCCUUACCUUCUUCACCCCAAUGUUUUUAGCCAAGGCAAAGGAAACAGAGAGCAACAAUUCUAUUUAUGGUUCGACCCAACUGCUGAUUUCCACACCUAUUCCAUUCUUUGGAAUCCCCAACGCAUCAUGUAAGCAAGAAACUCCGUCGCAUCUUCAGCUUUGUUCUUUUUAACUUUAAUUCUAAUUUCUUUAUUAAUAAUAAACUCAUUAUCCUCUGUUUCAGCUUCUCCGUUGAUGGGACCCCAAUUAGAGAGUUCAAGAACUUGGAAUCCGCUGGAGUUCCAUUUCCAAAGAGUCAACCAAUGAGAAUGUACUCAAGUCUGUGGAAUGCAGAUGAUUGGGCCACAAGAGGUGGUCUUGUGAAGACAGAUUGGAGUCGAGCUCCCUUCACUGCUUCUUACAGAAACUUCAACGCCAAUGCUUGUAUUUGGUCUAAUGGAGCAUCUUCUUGCAAAUCUAAUUCACCUUCCGGUAGUAAUGUGUGGCUGUCACAAGAAUUAGACACAAACAGUCAAGAUAGGCUCCAGUGGGUACAAAAGAAUUACAUGAUCUAUAAUUACUGCACAGACACUAAAAGAUUUCCUCAAGGCAUCCCUCCAGAAUGCAGCAUGUCAUAGAAGGCUGAGAAGGACAUAACAUUCAAUACAAUUUUUGUUUUUCUUUUUCAACAUAUCUUGAUUCUUUUUCUUUACAUUCUUUUGUUCUAUGCAAUUAGAUAUGACAAAAUUCGUUCUAUGUAAAGCUGCUUUGAAUCUUGAUUAAUGCUAUUUGUUCAUUAUCUCCAUUGAGAUCUUCAUAUCCAGGUUGGAAUGAAGCAUAUAUGAGCAACUUAAGGACAAGAGAUUUGAAAUUCGAUAACAUGAGUCUAGCUUUUCUUCAAAUUGCAUAAUUCAGAAGUACAAGUAAAAAAUUAGGCAAGGUAGUGGCGAGAUCGCCCUCCAACUGAAAGCGAGAACUUUUGUCAAACAGCUGGUCUGCAGUUUGUUUGCAGUGUGCUCUGAAAAAUGUUAGUUUCUUUUUUGGUGUGUUCUGUUAACUAAAGACGCAUGCCGCUAAAUGGAAAUCAAUAUAGGAUGCAUAAUUUGCUCAAUUAAGAAAAUGAAUUUACAUACAGUUUUUGCACAAACAAAAGAUAAACCAAUCUGAACAGUAAUUUAAUGAAAUGUAGAGAGCCAUCAUAAUUUUCGCUUGAGAAAGUGCUAGUCUUAGGUCGUAUAUAGCUUUUAUGCUAUAUACUUAUAGCCAUCCAAUUCCAGUAAGAACAGAUCAUUUUUAUUAUACCCCCAACUUUACGGCUUAUUAUAAUUACACUCUAAAACCAACCCAACUGACAGACACUCCAGAAUCUGCAGUUCUUGCUGCACUUGGGUUGGCGGUGUUGCAUCUUCAAUCCCUUCUCUCUAGUCUAUGCUUCUCUCCUACCUUGGUUGUCCUCUGUCUUCCUCUCCCACCGCCUUUUGGCAUCUAGCAUCCAGGUCUGAGAGAGAGGGAUUUUGAGAUGAGAUCCAUGAAGGAGGGGUAGAGAAGGGAGAGAUGAAACGGUAAGGUUUCUUUUGUUCCUUUAAACAAAACUCACCGUUUCACUUAACUGGGAUGGUUAAGUGAACUCAACAAAGUCCAACGGGUCCCAGAAAUAAUAAUAUUAUAACGUCUAAUUUUGACCAAAACCAAAAUGGGGCACAAUUUUGACAAAAAUAUAAAAAUAAGGUGCCUUAAAGUUGGUUUUGGGGUGUAAUCUGUGACGAAGUGUAAAAUGGAGGGUACAAAUGAUGGUUUACCCAAGAAUAGACCGAGUGCCAUCCAAUUCCCUUGGGAUAGCUUCAGUCAAAACCUAGUACUUUAAUCUUAAGACUAAAACCCACAAGGUAUUAGGAUUUUUAAGUAAAUGCCAACCAAUCUUUAUAAAAAAAAAAAAAAAAAAAUGAAGAUGUUUUUGCAAUGGAGAUGGAGAGAAGGAUGCUUAAUUUCUUAUUGCUUACCAAAAACAACAGUACAUAACAAUAUAUGUAUAUUUGGGGCAAGGACUACUUAGUACAGGAAACUAAGAUGAACAUUUGAAAUUUGACUUAACCCCAAAAUUAAUACUUCUUCUGUUUUAUUUUGUUUGCUUGUUAUUCUUUUUUGAAAAUGUCCAAAAAUAUUUACAAGGUUUCUAAAAGCAUUUAGUACGUUAUUGCGUGUAGGUGGUUAGGGAUAUAAGGUCUUGGAUAAAAUUGAUCAGCAUCUUCCCUCAAAAUAUUAGAUAUUAUCGUUGAUUUAUCAUCAAACUCAAGUGCCCCUUGGGUUCACCCUUCGCUAUGGUUUUAUAUACUUAGACAAUUAUUUUUUUCCAUUGUAACAUAUAUGAUUGUUCAUUAAUGAAUGAUUUUUACUAAUAUCUUAAUGAGUGAAGAGUAAAAUGAUUUUUAUUGAUUAAAUUUUUAAUAUGCGUGUUUUUUGAAACCAUGCAAAUAAAAUAGGAUGGAAAAAGUACAUCAUUAAAUUUAAACCGUAUACUUUUUUUUUUUAUUUUAACCACAAGGAUCCCCGUCCAGGAAAGGACCGAGGGGCUAUGCCCCUGCAAAUUAAAAAGUUUUUAAAAUUUUUAGUGUGAAAUGUUUGGAAAAAAAUAUAUUUGAAUUUUGCUCCCUAUAAUUAGUAAAAAAUUUUUUGGUCCCCCUAACUAUUUGGGCUGAUUUUGUCAUUGUUCCGAACCCACUGGAUUAAAACUAAAUCCUACUUGCACCGAAUCGGCCCACUACAGCGAGUAUUUACUUCAUCCAUGAGAAUUAAACCUUUCGAUCUCAAUUAAGAGAGAAGAAUGCCGAACCACUCAUCCCAACGUUUAUUUGUGAUAAACCAUAUACUUUAUGCCAAGCAAAAAUAUCAACACAUAUUCCAAAACUUAGACCAUCGUACAUAAUUUAUUUUUUGCAAAGUUCAUUUGUGAAUGAUGGACUGGUUGAGCAUGAUUUUUUUUUUUUUUUCUAAUGGAAAAAUUCUCUUGUUUUAUCUUUUGGAAGAACCAAAUGGAGAUUAUUGAGGUUCGUAGAAUACAUAUUUGACAAAGCACACAGAGAAUGACCUUUUUUGCAGUACAAACAAUUUUUUUUUUCCCUUUCAUUUUCAUUGCAUAUCAGCUGAGGAAUUUUAAGAAAAAGCAGAUAAGGAGAUUUCUGAACCAACUUGGCAAUUGGCAUGACUUAUUAGUGCAUGCUUCACAAAUAUGCUGACAAUAUUUUAAUUACUUUGACAGUAAAGGAGUUUAAAAAAAAAAAAAAAAGCAAACAAGCAAAUUGUUUUUCUUUUUUUUUUUUUUUUAAAUGGUAAUCCAUUAACAAUCUUAUGUUGAGAAAUGAUCUUAAUAGAAUAAAUUAUUCUUUAUUCUUUGAGUUGUAAUUGUUUUUUUUUUUUUUAAUUUAGAGAUCAGGUUAGGCAUCAAAUUGAAAACAAUUUAAAUUGUUAAGAGAAUAUUUUGGGUUACACAGCUGAGAUAGUCCUUUUCUUUAUCGAGAGAUGUUGAAUAUGUACUUGAUAGUGGGUCAGUUUGGUUCGGUUUAAAUAUAAUAAUCAAACCAAACUUAAAGUGGUGGUUUGAAAAAAAUUAAAAUCAAAAUCAAAUCAUGAAAAAUUUCAAACCAAACCUAAUCUUCGGCGACAGUUUGAUUUGAUUUGGUUUGGUUUGACAGUUUGAAAUAAGAGAAAUUAAACUUCCUUGUUCAUCUAGUUAAUAAAUAUAUAUAUAAAAAAAAAGAUUAACAUUAUUCUAAAUAUGAAAAAUGAAUUGAUAAAAACUAUGCCAUAAAAUACACAUGAUUUUGAAUAGCUAUUAUGAGUUUUUAAAUUUAUAUAUAUACUUUGUAUAGUAUAAAAAAUAUUAUUUAUUUAGAAAGAUAAUAAUUAAGCAAUUUAUAAAUAUAGAAUUUAAAUUUGAUUUAAUUAUAUCUAUUACUAGAAAUUAUAAAAAAAUUAUAAUUUUACUCACAUAUAGUUUAUAUAUAUAUACAUGAAUGUUUAACAUUUGAAUAUUUUAUAAAAUAAUUAUACAACUUAUCUAAUCAACAAGAAAUUAUUAUUCAAUUAUUAUCCAAUAUAACAAAUCUCAUAAUUUACUAUCCAAUAUAAAGUAAUUAAUACAACAGAAAUUUUCAUUAAAAAAAUUGAAUUGUAUUGAAAAAUUCAAAAUACAUAUAUAUAAUUAUACAUGGAUGUUUCAUUUGGUUUGGGUGGUUUGAUUCCAAAAACAUAAACCAAACCAAAAGCUCGGUUUGGAUGGUUGUGACUGUAAAAUCAUAAACCAAACCAAAAGCUAGGUUUUUAAAUUUUAUAAAAUCAAAUUAAACCAUCAAUCUUUUAAUUAAAACCGCAGUUUUAAUUCGAUUUGAAUCGAUUUGGACGGUUUAGGCAGUUUGAUGAACACUCUUACGUAUGGUUGUCAGAAAAUACUUGUAAAUAAUCGGCAUGAUGGGUUCCAUAUUAUGUAUAAACAAGUCAGACCCAAAUGUUACAUGUGGCCUUAAUAUAAUUUGAGCUUUUGGUGCUUUUCACCAUAAUAUAUACUAUUUUUGUAAUUUCUGAUUCUUUUCACAUCUCUAAAGAUUUCACAUAUAAAUUUAAUAUACAAAAUUAAAGGUGGAUUUGGACGGAAAAGAGUAAAGAAAUGCAUCACUCGUGAUGCAUAAAGCUUUUGAUCAGUGGAGAUUUAUUUUAAUGACACCCCAUAAUACAUAAAGCUUCAUGAACCAGUAAAAGAAGAGAGCGAGUUGAAUAGAUGCUGAUUUUUCUGAUAGAAAGCUAAUAAAAAAACGUUUUCUUUUUUAAAAAUAUUAUUAUUUUUUCGGUGUAUAAUUAAAUAUAUUCUGGUUUGUAAUUAAUUUGGUAUAUAAAUGGGCUCAUAUCCCAUGUAAGUAAAUUUUUUUAUUAAAAUUACGGAUUCAAUGUAUAAAAAUUGAAAAUAAUGGAUAAGCAAAAAUUAAAAGAAGAUAAAAUAGCAAAUCUUUUUUUUUUUUUAUUUAGAACUAACAGGUGUAAUCCCUCUUCGGCCAUUUAAGUGUAUUUUAGAAGAAUCUAACUUAUUUUAUUGACUGAAUUACCCUUUAGUCAAUACUCAAUUAAUUGAAACUUUGGUGUAGAUAUCUAAACAAGUAAAAUUGAAAUAAAUAAUUAAAUGAUAUUUUAAUUUUCAAAAAGUGUCAUCUAAAUGGUAUAAAAAAUAAAAAAAAAACUGUCAAAUUUAACGAAACAGAUAAUGCUAACAAAAGAAAGUGACAACUACAAACGCAAAAUGAAAAUUUUGUGAGGUUGAUUAACAUCUUUAUAUCAAGAUUAUGCAGUUUAUCAAAAAUACUUAUCGCAUUUGGGUAUUUAAUUUCUCUUAAAAAAAUUAUUUAAUUUUUCUAAAUUAUAAUAAAUUAUUAAAUGGAUUGAUGAAAUACUUUUAAUUUAAUAUUUGAGUUGAAACCAUUCAACUACUUGUGUACAAAUAAUAAAAAAAGAAAAAAGUUUAUUAUUUAUUAAAUCCACGUAUCUGACAACUAUGCAUUUGGUUUUUGCACGGAUCCUUACAAAAUGAAAGAUACUAAUGCAAGAAUCGAAAGCAUCAACCAGGUGACAGCCACACGCCAACCCUGCAUUGCAUUAAUGCGAAACCGCGUCUCGUGUCGCUUAAUGUCUUUUUGGUGCGCUAUAUUUUAUUCACAGUACAACUGUCCAGCUGAUGACUAUACUGAACCUUCCCAUGCCUUUUCCUUUUCAAAUUCAAAUGGGUAUAAAUACCAUCAUCGUCUCAUCUUAUCUCCACACUUGUAACAUACCAGUUCUUUCUUUUACUCUAUACAUUGUAUACGCAGUUUCUUGCUAUCCCUUAUUUCAACAUCAAGAAAAAUUUAUCAUGGCUUCACAUAGUUCUUUAAUGCUGCUAUUGCUUCUUGGCAUCUUCUCUUCCAUGGCAGCUGCAAAUUUUUACCAAAAUUUUGACAUUACAUGGGGAGAUGGCCGAGCUAAGAUUCUCAACAAUGGAGACCUUCUUACGCUUAAACUUGACCAAGCUUCUGGUUCUGGAUUUCAAUCCAAAAAUGAGUAUUUGUUUGGACAAAUUGACAUGCAACUCAAGCUUGUCCCUGGCAACUCCGCUGGCACCGUUACUGCCUAUUAUGUAACUAUUUCUUUCUCUCUUCUUUUUUUUUUUUUUUUUUUUUUUUGCUGUAAAUUUUUAAGUAUAUAUGUAUUCAUUCUGACUAAUAAUACUUGUGAAUUUGCAGUUAUCGUCAAAAGGGUCUACUUGGGAUGAGAUAGACUUCGAGUUCUUGGGAAAUUUGAGUGGAGAUCCUUACAUUCUCCACACCAAUGUGUUUAGCCAAGGCAAAGGAAACAGAGAGCAACAAUUCUAUUUAUGGUUCGCCCCAACUGCUGAUUUCCAUACCUAUUCCAUUCUUUGGAAUCCCCAACGCAUCAUGUAAGCAAGAAACUCUGUCAAAUCUUCAGCUUUUUGUCUUUUUAUCUUCAAUUUUAAUUUCUUUACUAAUAAGACAAUCUUCCUGCUCUGUUUUCAGCUUCUCCGUUGAUGGAACCCCAAUUAGAGAGUUCAAGAACUUGGAAUCCAUUGGAGUUCCAUUUCCAAAGAAUCAACCAAUGAGAAUAUACUCUAGUCUCUGGAAUGCAGAUGAUUGGGCUACAAGAGGUGGUCUUGUGAAGACAGAUUGGACUCAAGCUCCCUUCACUGCAUCUUACAGAAACUUCAAAGCAAAUGCUUGUGUAUGGUCUAAUGGAGCGUCUUCUUGUGGCACAAAUUCUGCAUCUAACACAACUUCUUGGCUUUCCGACGAGCUUGAUUCAACAAGUCAAGAGAGGCUCAAAUGGGUGCAAAAGAAUUACAUGAUAUAUGAUUACUGCGCUGAUGAUAAGAGAUUUCCGGAAGGAUUCCCUACGGAAUGCAGCAUGUCAUAAAAGAACGACGACAUACUGUUCAAUACAAAAAAAUUUUUCUUUUCUUUUUUAAUUUUUCAACAUAUGUUGAUUCUUUCUUUUUCUUUUCCCAUUCUUUUGCUCUAUUUAAUUGGAUUUAACAAAAUUAUUUCUACUAUGAUGUUUUGUUCAAUCUUAAAGAUGUUUUGAUGAAUGCUAUCCAGGUUGGAACGAAGCAUGGAUAGCAGAGCAACUAAAUUGGGAUAAGAGAUCUGAACUUUGAGAAUAUGAAUUUGAAUUUUAAGUUGCAUAAUUUAAAAAGAUUAAACAAGAUUUUUUACUUUACAAACUCAACCUCCCUCAAUAGCCUAUUGAACCGAACCAAAUGAAUCGAUUCAACACUCUUAAUUGCAAUUAUAAACACAGUUUUUUUUUAAAAUAAAUUUAUAUUUUUAAAUUCAGAAAACGUAUACAAGGUAUUCUUGUUAUUUAUGUACUUUUUUUAAAAAAAAAUUUCAAAUCUAAUUCUUAUGACAUCAUAUAUAGGCAUGUCAAGGGUUAAGUGAUUUUGGUUAGAUUCUGGUUUAAACUAAAAUUGACUAGUGUGAAUAAAUAAUAAUAAUAGAUUAACGAUAAAUAGCAAAUUAGGUCAAAGAAGGCAUAAACAAGCGCCUAACAAUUACUUUUUUGAAAAAUAAUUAUUUAGUCCUUCAGGUUUUACAAAUUUAAUUUUCUGAUCCUUAUACUUUAUACAUUAAGUAUUUAGCCUUAAACGUUUAAUUCAUCUCAUUAAAAGGUUUUUCGUCCGAAAUUCAUAGUUUUUAUUGUUAAAAGAGUGUGAAAAGACAAAUUACCUUGGAACAGAAAGAUCAAAACCCUUCACCUGUUAAAAGAAGACUAAACAAAAUUCACAAAAGUUCAAUUUUAAGAACUGAUUUACAAAUUUUAACUAUCAAAAUAUGCUCAAAGCAGAUGUUUUUCUAAUAGUCCAAGAGAGUUGAUUUUACAAAUAAGUAAACCAUUAAAAUACUCUAAACUUUGCAUCUUAUAACAAUUGCACUUUAAAUUCAACUUAAUGCCUCAGACACUCUAAUUAUAACUUUUUAUUAUAAUUGUACCUUAAUUUGAAAUUGGUGAAAAUUAGUGAAUAAAACAUAAUAAAUAUGGGUCCCAUAACUAAAAUUUCAGUGGAUUAACCCAAGGAAUGAGUUGGUUAAACUAUAUAAUACUCCAAACUUUGGUUAUUAGAACAAUUGUACCCAAAACGAUCCUAAUCCCUUAGAUACCCUAAUUUUAACUUUUUGUCACAACUACAUCUCAAAUUCAAAUUAUGACAAAUAUAAUGCUAUAAUUGCACCUUGAUUCAAAUUAGGGUCACAUUCAAUUACAAUUUCACUCUAAAUUCAGACUUCUUAAUGGAAUAAAUCCUAGAUUACUAGAGAAGAAGUGACCAAGAAGAGAUGAGUUCGGAAUAAAGUAAAUUAUAACAAACAUAUAAUCAUAAUUACACCCUAAAUUCAAAAUUUCAUCUCAUAUUGAUAUGCAAACCAUAGUUUACUCGAGAAAAUAUAUUGUCCCACAAAAAUAAUCUUAAACCUCCAAACACAAACUGCGACUAUAGAAAUUGUGAGUCACACAUUUUACACAUUAGGUUAGUUUAAUUUGAAGAGUUGGUUAAGUGAAAUGGUGUGUUUCAUGAACCUCUUCUAUCAAGCCAUUAUGAAACGUUUUACUUUAUUCUGAACUCAUCUUCUAUUGAUUACUUCUUCUCUAUUAAUCUAGGAUUUCUAUAUAAAAAUAAGAUAAAAUUUGAAUUUAAGGUGAACUUAUAUUAAAUGUGACCCUUAGUUUGAAUUUAGGGUGCAAUUAAAACAUUAUAUUUGUCAUAAUUUGAAUUUGAGAUGCAGUUGUGACAAAAAGUUAAAAUUGAAAUAUUUAAAGAUUAUUGUCGUUUUGGAGUACAAUUGUUACCAUAACUAAAGUUUGGGGUAUUAUAUAAUUUAGCGAACUCAUUCAUUGGGUUAAGUUAACUCAAGUAUGUGUUGUGGAGCCCAUAUUUAUUAUAUUUUUUUCACUAACUUUGAUGAAUUUCAAAUUAGGGUACAAUUAUAACAAAAAGUUACAAUUGGAGUGUUGAAGAGUUAAAUUGGAUUAAGAGUGCAAUUGUUACCAGACACAAAGUUUAGAGUUUUUUUAAUGGUUUACUCUUUUGCAAAUAACCCAUAACUGAGAAUUUCUAUUUAGUUUCAGAGAUUCACAAACAAAUAAAUGACCUAGUUUUUGAAAUGUAAUUUAUUAAGUUAAAUCUCAAAAUGAAUAUUCGGGUCUUAAUUUAUAAAAGAGUUGAGCAAAAGCAUAAUAUCAAAAAAUAGCAAUAAUGAGCCACAAUUAACAAUAAUGAAUAACAGAAAUAAUAUUUGGUUCUAAUCACAUCUGUUUUAUUUGAUUUAAAUAAUAUUUUCUUUUUCAUUGAGGGCACCUUUGGUCAUUAAAAAAAUUAUCUUAUGUCCUCUAUUUUGUCUUUUUGUACUUUUUUAAUUGUAAAUAUCAUGAAUUUCAGAGGGAAGAACUCUCGAUGAGAUGGAACCCAACCUUCAGGACUAAAUAUCUAACAUAUAAAAAUAUAAAGGCAAAAUAAUUAAUUCUGUAAAUACUCAGUGACUAAAUAAUUAGUUUCCCUUACUUUUUUAUUCUUCAAAACAGUUUCCAUGAAAAAUGUUUUUAGAUUUCAUAGUUGAAAAGAAUAAUUUACUGUGGUUUACGGAAAGGUAUAAACCUUCACAGCUAACUCUGAUCAACGGCUUUCUGUCGAGCUCAGACAGUAUUUGGUUUUGCACUUUCGCACGGAUCCUUACAAAACGAUCGAAAGCAUCAGGUCAGGUGACAGUCACACACCAACUCAACGCGUUUCGCGUCACGUAAUGUCUCUUUAGUGCGCCAUAUUUUAUUCACAACUACAACUGGCCACAGCUGAUGACUAAUACACCGUCACCGGACCUUCUUCCUUCCUUUGCCUUUCCUUUUCAAAUUCAAAUGGGUAUAAAUACCAACAUCAACUCAGCCUAUCUCCUCACUAAAAAAUCCUUUCUUUUACUCUAUACGUAGUUUCUAGCAAUCCUUGAGUUACCUAUCGAGAAAAAUUCAUCAUGGCUUCACAUAAUUCUUUAAUUCUGGUAAUGCUUCUCGGCAUCUUCUCUUCCAUGGCAACUGCAAAUUUCUACCAAAAUUUUGACAUUACAUGGGGAGAUGGCCGUGCUAAGAUUCUCAACAAUGGAGACCUUCUUACGCUUAACCUUGACCAAGCUUCUGGUUCUGGAUUUCAAUCCAAAAAUGAGUACUUAUUUGGACAAAUUGACAUGCAACUCAAGCUUGUCCCCGGCAACUCCGCCGGCACCGUCACUGCCUAUUAUGUAUGUACUUACUCUCUCUCUCUCUCUCUCUUUUUUCUGCAACUUUUCAAGUUUGUAUUCGUUUUGACUAAUAAUACCUGUGAAUUUGCAGCUAUCCUCAAAAGGGUCUACUUGGGAUGAGAUAGACUUUGAGUUCUUGGGAAAUUUGAGUGGAGAUCCUUACAUUCUUCACACCAAUGUGUUUAGCCAAGGCAAAGGAAACAGAGAGCAACAAUUCUAUUUAUGGUUUGACCCAACUGCUGAUUUCCACACCUAUUCCAUUCUUUGGAAUCCCCAACGCAUCAUGUAAGCAAGAAACUCCGUCGCAUCUUCAGCUUUGUUCUUUUUAACUUUAAUUCUAAUUUCUUUAUUAAUAAUAAACUCAUUAUCCUCUGUUUCAGCUUCUCCGUUGAUGGGACUCCAAUUAGAGAGUUCAAGAACUUGGAAUCCGCUGGAGUUCCAUUUCCAAAGAGUCAACCAAU